RNAcentral lists this transfer RNA (86 nucleotides) under Verrucomicrobiota bacterium. RNAcentral's name for it is "Verrucomicrobia bacterium (groundwater metagenome) tRNA-Leu". It matches the Rfam family "tRNA". Rfam says of the family: Transfer RNA (tRNA) molecules are approximately 80 nucleotides in length. Lineage: Bacteria; Pseudomonadati; Verrucomicrobiota. The record is from RNAcentral.
GCGGUCGUGGCGGAAUGGCAGACGCGCUAGGCUCAGGACCUAGUGGCCGCAAGGCCGUGGAGGUUCAACUCCUCUCGACCGCACCA